Molecule: long non-coding RNA, 336 nt
Filed under: Homo sapiens (human)
Lineage: Eukaryota; Metazoa; Chordata; Mammalia; Primates; Hominidae
Description: HSALNT0380680
Source: RNAcentral
AAUGAGGCCUAGGCUAACAAGUAGAGUGAGAUAAAUAGUGAGCUGAACACAAGUGAGGCAAAAGAGGAGGAGGUGUUUUAGAGAAGAGGAAUAUGCAGAGGUAAGGAAGAGUAGAACGCUUUGCUGAACUACAACACUCAGGAGCUUAUUCUCUGAUUCUGUCUCCUCCCCACCUGCCAAGGUGAGACCAGGGAUGUUGCUAAAUCAAUUUUGCUAUUAUAUGAACCAACAUAUUGAGUACAUCCUGUAUGUCAAGUGUGGUGCCAAGAUGUAAGAAUACGUUUCAGAGGUUCCAAGAUGGCCAAAUAGGAAUAGCUCCAGUCUACAGCUCCCAGC